UGGGGAAUUUUCCGCAAUGGGCGAAAGCCUGACGGAGCAAUACCGCGUGAGGGAGGAAGGCUUUUGGGUUGUAAACCUCUUUUCUUAGGGAAGAAGAACUGACGGUACCUAAGGAAUCAGCAUCGGCUAACUCCGUGCCAGCAGCCGCGGUAAUACGGAGGAUGCAAGCGUUGUCCGGAUUUAUUGGGUUUAAAGGGUACGUAGGCGGGCUAGUAAGUCUGAGGUGAAAGCUCUCGGCUCAACCGGGAAAUUGCCUUGGAUACUGCUAGUCUUGAGUACAGUAGAGGUGGGCGGAAUUCAUGGUGUAGCGGUGAAAUGCAUAGAUACCAUGAGGAACACCGAUAGGGAAGCCAGCUCACUGGACUGUUACUGACGCUGAGGUACGAAAGCGUGGGGAGCGAACAGGAUUAGAUACCCGCGUAGUCC
This 426-nucleotide ribosomal RNA is filed under the name uncultured prokaryote. RNAcentral describes it as "bacterial SSU rRNA". It matches the Rfam family "Bacterial small subunit ribosomal RNA", at positions 355 to 796 of the family's 1533-position model. The record is from RNAcentral.